UUUUUUUUUUGGUUUAUGGUUUACAGUACGGUCUCUUUUUUGUUCUCCUUUUUUAUUCUUGGGUAUAAAGAGACCGUACAAUGGUCAGGUUUCUUGGGUAUAAAAUAGUUUUUGUUCUCCUUUUUUAUUUCUUGGUGAGUUCGAUUUUUAUUCUUUUUCUUGAGAUUUUGAUUCGAAAAUUUCGGGUUGAACUGAAAUUAUCGACUGGACGAAAGCCCAGCCCGGCCCACUGUAAACCGCUGCUGGUGCUGUUGUACUGUCGACCAGCCCACCACACGCUCACAGAGAGCAGGCGGUGGCGAGCCGCCGCCAGGCACCACGGUCGGCGGCCCCUCGCUCCUCCGCCGCCGCCUCCCCUCCCUCCGGCACCGAACGGGCGCCGGCGCGCCCUCGGGGUGGGUGCUGCUCGUGCUCGUGCUCGGCGCCCCCGCUUCCCCGACUUCACGGCCACCUGCCUGCAGGUGAGAAUAAAAUUGCCUGCCGCUCUUCUGCUAGUGCUGCACGGUACACACUCUGAUUAUUUUAUCUUGUCACUUGUUCAGAUCAUCAGUUGGCCGGGAGCUGUGAUGUGACGGCCAUACCCUUCUACUCCACUACGCUAGUGUCAGAAACGCUCUUAUAUUAUGGGACGGAAGAAGGAUUCUAAAUAUAUGAGAUUCAGAUAUACAGAGAAUCCUAACACCGACAGUGGCAACAAAGGUGAAGAACCAUGCGCCCUUGAGUGCAACGAUGCUAGCUAGUGGCAUACGUUGGUUCUGCUUGUGCUUUGCUCCUAGAAUUAUGUCGUGCGGAGCCGCAGAUUGAAUAGCAGCCACUGCCAGUUGUUCUGUUAACUUGUUUGCCUCUACUGUUUUACUACCUACUACCACUAGUACACAACACACUAGUGAUGAUAAAAGCAAAGUAUUGAUACCCUAUAAACUGAAACCCCGUAGAUUCCUGUGUUGUAUGUUCGCUUGUCUAGCUCUGUUUCCUUUCCUUUCCUUUUCUUUUCUUCUGCACGACUGACCCUAAAUAUGUAGUGUGGAUAUGAUCUCCAGUGUCCAAAUGCCGAACACAGCGCAACUUGCAAAAUGGUCUCUCUCUCUCUCUGCAUCUAUGCUUGAAGAGACAGAGGGCAAUGCUUUUUCUUUAGGGAAAGGAAAGUACAGUGCUUGAAAGAACUAAAGAAAAAAGCCCGCAAAACAGAUCAGGAAUGAGUGACAUUAUCUGCAACUGCAGGCAAGGAACAAUGUGCUUUGGGGAAAACACAAAAGCAAAGUGGGGCAAAACAAAAAGCUCAUACCAUCACCACUGCACCAUCUCAUGCUAAUUGCCCCCCAACUUGCACUACACUCUGUUGCCGAGCUCUGCCAGCUACGCGCAAGCGAAAACUUCUUUCAUCUCCAGCUAAACCAGAUGAUCAAGUGAUACAUCUUCACCUUGGACUGGAGGAUGGAUGGCUUCGACUAAGUAAAUCAGCCUUUUUCUUGUUUUGCAGCAAAUCUGCGGCCGAUGGGUUAGACAUGUUUUUCUCAUGGAUUUCUUGUGCUGCUGUGCUGUUAGUUUUGAUUUGAGGGAGAUGAUGGAGUGAGCUGCAUCUGGAAUAAUGGAUUUUUUGGAGAUAACUUUAUUUUUAUGUGCAACUCUUCUUCACUCGUUGAAAUGAUCCGCCUGCGGCUCUAGAGGUAUUCUUACUCUCUCCGGCAUCAGAAAAGUUGACGUUUUAGACAUGAUUUCACGUACAGAAGCUGUUUUUUAUAUUUAUUCUCUCCAUACUAACUCCGCAACUCACUAAUUCUUGGGUAAUACUUUCUACAAUUUGCUUCAACAUCAGCAUUUUUUAAUACUGGAGGAAUAACAAUGCAUAUUGUGUAUAGACAUAGCAGAUCGUCUUGCCAUAAGUUUUGUGUUUAAUCUGCUUCGCGGACCAAGAGAUGUUACAAUCUCAGCCGGAUCUGCCUUUUAUUUUUAUUUUUUGGGAAAAAACGACCAGAUUAGGAAAUCUUUAUAACUCAAACCCAAAAUUCCAAUUUUCUUUCUGUAUAGCUGUUCCCCUGAAUAUCUAGAAAUAUAGAGCCCGAAGUAGAUUUUUUUAAUGAAGAAACGAAAUAUACAUAAAGAAUGCACCUUUUGUGAUUUUUUUGUUGCAACGGUGUAUAUGUAAACACAGAUUUUUUUUAAAGUUAAACAUGUUGCAAGCAUGGAUUUUGAGUCGCUCGACUAGUUACAACGCAGGCUCGACUUCUUCCGAGUUGCUGCCCCAGAGCGACUCGCAUGGGUCGCGACUCGAAAACCAUGGUUGCAAGAACUAGUCUCUUAGUGUGUAUACAUGCUUAAAGGAGGAAGAGACAAACCCUGCUGUAAAGAAAGGCCACAAAAAUCUGCGACGUGGGACGAUGCCAUAAGCUCCCACCAUCAUCAUACACCUGAUUAUCGACUGAUAUCACUGCUCAAUCUUGCAGUUCAUUAUGUUGUUACCAAGCCCCGCCACCAUCUAAGAAGAACAAGUGGGUUUGUUUUUCCAUUUCGAGUGAUAUUUCUUCACCUGGGACUGGAUUUCUUUGGGACAACUUCUCCUUUCUCUGCAAGUCUUCUUGGCUCCUUGACUUGAUAUCUAGGUACUACAAUUGCAUCUCGUAUGUAUAUAUACAAGCUUGUUUUUUCAUAUGUAUUUCUGUGAUGCCACAUCGUGAAUCUGACGAGCAUCUAACUUUUGUAGACUGCGGGCCAGUGGGUUACAAGCACACAGUCAUGGUUUUCUUCUGCUGAGGGUAAUUAUCGGUUUUACUGUGGAGCUUCAGAAUGGCUGCUGCACCACCUGGACCUACUCUGAAAGGGCAUACUCUGGUUGGUACCUUUUCUUAAAUUUUUUUUUUGAAACGAGGCAAAAGACUUGCCAUUUUCAUUGAUUAAGAAGAAGAAUUGUCCGGUUAAUUGACGGAAAACCGGGCUAAAACCGAUACAACACAACCCACAUGACAUGGGCACCACCGGCCAACCUGGCCACCGACAUGGAACAGAAGCCACGACGGCACAUGCCAACGGAUGGCCACACACGCAAGCAACUGACAGCUCUGACUUUGACAACGAGCAACACAGGGGAAAUAUGCAGGACUUGCGCCGACCGUGCCGAAAAGAGCACCUCGGACACGCCGGGAAGAACCGACUACCGAAGACCACGCCGCGACCCAAGAUUCUCUCGACGCCAUCAUCGUUGCCAAACAGAAACCAGCGCCCCGCCUCAGCAAACCACGCGGCGAAGAUGCCGCCAUCGACGGCGAAGAUGCCAUCAUCCUCCAGUCUCUCAGUCGUAGCCGGCUCCGAGACGAUGCCCCCAAGGAGGAGAAAGACGCGAAGACGCCUCCAUCGCCCGAUCCAACGGAUCUGAGGUUUCCCUCCGGAGCCCAAGCCGUGGGGAGAAGGAGCAACUCCACGAAGACGCUUCCAAGAAAGAUCACGGCACCCGCGGGCGCCGCCGUCGCCGGCUCCGGUGAAGAUCGGAGCAAGGAUUUCUCCCGGAGAUGUGCCGACCACCUGUCACCACCGACCGCCGCCCACUGACCACCACUCCUGCCGAGGCCGACCUCACUCUGGCCACGGGAUCCCACGAUCCACCGCGACCAGAUUCGCACCACCUCCUGGCCGAAGCCGCCACCACCAUACCCGGGGCCGCCGCCCCGGAGCCCAAGAGCCGCCACGUCAUCGUCAUCACCGUCGGCAGGAGCCCGGCCAGGCCCGACGGCAUGGAGUCCACAUCGCAAAUCUGGAGGCAAGGGAGGGCCUGACCAGACUACGACCUCGCCACAAGCCUAGCCUCGGUGGGCCGAAGGACUGCCAAAGCCGCCGCCGGAAGGCUAUAGUCGAGCCGCACCAGAUCUGAACCGCCGGAAGCCGGAGCCGCACGAGCGAGAUAGAGUGGUCGCAGCCGCCUAGCCUCGACCCACCGCUGGACGUCGCGAGGCCGCCGCCGUUGCCGCGCCUACUCGCCACGCCGCCCAGCCGUCGCGCCACCGGAGGAGCAGCCGCCUCCGUGGGACCCGCAGCCUGGACCACCACCAACCCGAGCGGGGGACAAGGCACGCCAAGCCGCAUGCAGUGCACCGUCCACCGAGCCGCCGAGCUACCCACGCCGCCACCACCGGGCCCAGCUUCGCCGAGCCCUCGAUCCGCCAGAACGCGCGCCGCCCCUACUCCCGGACCACUGGAUCCGCGCCAGCCAUCGCCGGAGCCGCGCCCGCUCGCCCGCUAGACCCCGCCGAGCUCAUACGCCAGAUCCGCCCGUGGGCCACCCUGAGAGAAGCCCCACCGCCACCCUCCCUGGAGCCUGACCGGGCUUUGCCGGCGGGCUCCUCAGGCGGCGGCGAGGUGCUGGGGCAGAGGGGAGGAGGAAGUAGCCGGCGCCGGUGGUGUUCCCCCGUGUCGCCCGAGAGAGGCGACGCGGGGGUCGGGGACAGUUACAGUAUAUGAUAUUGUUGUUAGAUUAUGAAGCCUCCCAAACUUGUCUGUUUGGAGCGUGACUACCUCUCCUCGUAGUUACCACACUCUUGCAAUCUCGUUCCUUGAGCAAUGAUGUUCAGGUGUGUAGAGCUGCCUAGUGCUUCAACAAAUUUUGGACUGCCGCGGCCCAUGAAAUACUAUUACUAGCAAUGGUUAUAUGUUUUGUGUGGGAAACAAUACUAUGUAAUGAGCAAGCAUAUAUGAACCGAUUAUUUUUAUUCAUCAAUAUAUUAGUUCCACACUAGCUAAACUUCUAAAUUAGGCACAUGUCUACACUGACCUGAGAUUGCAACAUGAGACAUUUGUUGUUUUAGCUUAUUAAUUUAGGAAAAUAGCUAGUAUUAAUUAAUGUUAUAGUGUCAACAUGUCUACUCAUUUGGCAGUCAUAUCUAACAGUCGUUAAUUACUACAGGUUGUAAAGGAUUUCGAUGACGCCGUCAAGCAGCUGAUUGAUUUUCUGCAUCAUGGCGGUGAUACUUCAGAAGGCAGAAUAAAAGCAUUCUUAUUUCAUGGCUGGUACGGUGUGGGUCUUGGAGCAUCCGCCGUUCUUAGAGCUACAGCAGAACACCUCAAAUCCAAAAGAAGCGAUCCAGACAUGAAACAGCAAUUUGGUAAAGUUGUCCACGUCGACUGCUCUCUGUGGAAAAAUAGAAGGACGAUGCAGCAGGAAAUAGCAGCAGAACUGAACCUUGUGCAUUUAAUGCCUAUUUUUGAUAAGCAAGAUGAGGACGAUGAUUUCAGAGGAGUAGAGGACAGUUCUAGAGCAGAGAUAACAAGCAUAGCAAGUGCGAUCUAUGAAUCUCUAAUCAAUGAAAAAUUUAUAUUAAUUCUUCAUUAUGGGGGAGAUGCAGAUAUUGAUCUGGCAGAGUCGGGCGUUCCUGUAUUUGGACCUUUCGGUAAAGCCAAGCUUUUAUGGACCAAUCAUGGAAGAUUUCAGCUCUCACAGAAACAACACAAGUUGUUGACAUCCAGUUUCCUUGAUAUAAACAUGCUUUUCAUUACCACAGACCACAUCUAUAUCGGGCAACAACUACGUUGUUUAUUGCACAAAGAAGCUGUUGAGGUGAUUAGUUACACGGGAAUGGAUGACAUCAACCCAGCAACUGUUGUGGAUUGCUUCUUGUACUCACUGUUGCUGGUAGGACAACUGGGUGAAAACUCUGACACUGUUGAGUAUGGUUGGGCCACUUAUGUUUGCAACUACUGGAUAUGUGACGGAAUCCUUCAAAAGGACAGAGCUUGGGAGGUUGGCAAUGCAUUAUAUGGAGUGAUAGGGCAAUUGCGCCAUUCUUCAGGUGCAAUAGAAACUCUAUUAUAUUGGUUGGACCAACAAAUAAAAUCCUACCAAGGCUGGAAGUCAAUUGCAUCAAACCAACAAGGAGCACAAAGUAUCUCUGUUGUUCCUGUUAAUGCAUCAUCCUAUUUCUUAACAUUUAAGGGAGAUGAUCUGCUACAACUACCGAAUGAUUUGUUUCAACUAGCCAACAACCUCCGUGUGCUAAAACUCUGCAAGUGCAGAUUUGAUUUUGCAUUGCCUCCUUUCCAAUCCUGCCACAACCUAAGGUUCCUUUGGCUUGACCAUUGUGCAAACACUGGGAAGGAGCAAGGUGGGGGAGCAUGUUUUCCAAACCUGAUAGUGCUUGACUUGCGUCACACUGAUUAUGCCUUGCAGCAGCAGAUGAUUGAACGGAUGACAAAUCUAAGAGAAAUAAAUACAAAAGGAGUCUCAUGGAGGAAUAUAAGUCAUGCAUGGAAAACAUUACAAAAUCUUCACAAGCUCCGACUAACAGAAUCUUCAGAUUUGAUCACAGUGAACAAUUGCUCUUCCUUGGAUAUGAUCAAUCUGGAGCUCCUUGACUUGUCUGGCAAUAUCUCUAUGGCAUCAUUGCCUAGAAUGUCAUCAGCGGCAAGCUUGAAGAUGCUUGUUCUUGAUGGUUGUUCCAACUUGGAGACCGUUGCAGUUGAAGGAGCUCUUCCAUUGCUCGAGACUUUUAGCUUCGAUGGUUAUGGCCCAACAGAGAACUGGGCACAUCCCAUAGAAUUACCAAAAAAAGAAUUUCGGCCAAAGUCUCGUGCAACUCCAAUCCAAGAAGCCAAGGUGACCAAAAUUUCCCUCAUGGGUUGUGGUCGAUUGCAUAGCAUAUUCUUGCGUGCGUUGGACAAUCUGGACGAGUUGGACCUCUCUGGUACAGCCAUAAAAAUGCUUGACCUUAGUGUCAUGGAUGCCCCAAAGCUCAGGAAGUUAUUAUUACUGGGUUGUCGGCAGCUCUUUAGUCUAGGUUGGCGUUAUAAUAACCCAUUUAGAUUGAAAGUGGUACAUGUAGACACUUGCUGGAGGAAAAGAUUAGUGGUAUGUUGUGCACGAGUGAGGGAGGAUUUCUUUCAUUUUGAGGCAUGCAUUACCCUUACAGAUGCAAGGUUCCUUUGGCGGUGCAUGGAGGGACUCUACUUACGUUCAUGGUGGUGCAUGCACAGUGGGGGCAAGUUGAAGUUGCACCUCCAUAUCUCUUCUACCAUUCAUAGCCAAAUCAACAUGACCAAAAGUAUCAAGGAGAUUGGUCCUAGCCAAGAGGGUUUUGCUCCCACAGGGCGAUCAUUACCUUAUGAUGAUAUUAUUAUCCUUUUGAAGGAUGUAGCAAAUUCAUCCCUUGUGUGCGACCAGAGGCAGCUUCAACCUCUCGAUGUGCAUAUAGAGAUUGGUGAUGAAGGCCACAAUUUGGAGACUAUGGACAAGAACCAGCAUUUCAGAUGGUUCGUUAGGGAUCAUGUUCAAUCAUUGCACGUGCAUGACAAUUCCUCAAUCGCGGCUAUCCCUCCAAGGGGCCCACAAACUUGGCUUGGCCUAACAUGGUGUCAUGUUGAGAGAUGUCCCAAGCUACGUUCACUCUUCUCUUGUAAGGCUAGAGAAGACAACUUCACUUCUUUAAGGACAUUUUCCGCGUCUGAUCUCCCGACGGCCUGCUGCAUCUGGGAUAAAACCAACCCCAAAGACCCUGAAGAUUGCAUAUACCUACGAAGUGCCUUCACAUCCCUACAUUCCAUAUACCUACACAAUUGCCCGAGGCUGGUGUUUGUCCUCCCGAUUUCCUUCACCUUGCCAAGCCUGGAGACCCUUCACAUGGCAUACUGCAGGAACCUGCAAUAUGUUUUCCCACUGGACAACAAGUACCCUCCAGAAAUAGCUUCUGGUGCCACAUUCCAGAACCUGAAGCACAUCAAGCUAUACCAUCUCCAUCGGCUGGAGCAGAUAUGCGAAGCCAGACUGACCGCACCGGCGCUGGAGACGAUCAGUCUCAGGGACUGCUGGGGCCUGAGACGGAUACCGGCCGUCGCUGCGCGUCAAGGUCCUAAGCCAGUUGUGGACUGUGAGAAGGAUUGUUGGGGCAGGCUCGAGUGGGACGGCCUGGAGGCCGGGCACCACCCGUCGCUCUUCGAAACGCUUCACUCAGCUUACUACAAGGAGGCGCUCCCAAGGGUCUCCGUUCUAAGGUUCGUCCCCCAUGGGCUACUAUUCCUUAUAUGCGUACACAUAUCUAGACUGAGCAUGCAUCAGUCACAGAAUUUGCCAUCUAUUAAGGUAUCCAAUUGACUUUUGUUGUUCGAUUCGUAGGUGAUGUGUUCCACCCCUCUGCCAUGUCUAGCUUGGUCAAUAAGAUGCAACCAAGGGAGGUCAGGCCACAUGUUUCUGUGUUGCAAGUGUGGUGUGUUCGUGUGCACUGUGCAGGAUACGUACGCUGCUAUGCACAAGGAAGAAUAAAUGGUGUGUUUUCACUUUUCAGCCCCAGGCUACCUGAUUUUGAGUAUGCUUGGAUUGGAUUGGAUUGUCGUGCGAUGCACUUUGGGUGCAGGGCUUUCUCCAGCUUGGUGUGGUGGUCACACCCAGCUGGUUUAUUUGUGAUGAUUGGCCAUUUGCUUGUAAUAAUAAGAUUGAGGUUGUGUGCAUGUGUGCGCGCGCACCAACCUAGCUAGUCUUCCGUGUGACUUUAUUGAUGAACCGUAAAUCCAGCUUGCAUUUGAUCAUAUGUAUAACAAUAUUGUGUGAUGAGUUGUUACAUGGUUUGCAAUUGUGUGGGUUUUGCGUGGCAGUGAUGUGGUGGUGCUGUUAUCAACCAAAUGGUGGUGCUGUAUAUAUGAAGCUACUCUAUGAUGAAGCUUUUCCUUUGACCAAAUGCUUCACAAGUGGCCAUAAACCUCUGUUUUGUUCUCCGGGAACCAAAUGCUCCAGGGACGAGAGCCAUCUGAGGGACGAGUACCGGCUGGGCGCCGCCACCUUCUCCUUUAGCACGGCCAGCCGAGAGUGGACACGGCGCGGGGACUGGCAGCUGCCGGCCCACGGCCACGCCCACUACGACGGCGAGCUGGGCGCGUGGCUCGGGCUCCACGCCGUCAGCGACGAAGGCGACAUGUAUCGUCACCGCGUGACGGACGGGCGCCUCUGCAUCGGAGACGUCACUUCCGAACCGGCCGAGUGAAAGGUCGGCAGAGAGCAGCUGUUCCGCCUGGAUGACGACGCCGCGGCAGGCUGGAGGCACGUCGAUGCCAAGCUCGUGCUCAUGGCGGCGAGCAAUGGUGACAGCGAGUACUGCAUCAUGGAGCGCCUACGACCCCAAGAAGGAGAAGGAGAAGGAGAAGGAGAAGAAGGUGGUAUUCAUCAACGGGGUCAACCAUUGGUACGAGAAGGAAGAGGAGGAGGAGUGUCUCCUCCGGCUCACCAGUUUCCGUGUCGACCGUGGCCAGGACGGCGAGCCGGUGGCCACGGCUCGCCGGGCACCUCGCUAUUACAAGGUGUUGAGUCACAAUAAGAAUUUUGAGGCUCUGCUAUAAUGCCAGGAUCAGUGGCUUACUGCUAUAAUACCAGAGCAAGUUGAAUAAAUUGUGGAGCCGGGAUAUCACCGAUGUAACAUCACAAACUAAAAGAUACCCCGUGCAUUGCGGCGGAAUUCCGAGGAAUAAAUUUUCACAGAAACUAAAGUACCAACUCUAUUAGAUACAUGUAAUAGCAAAUAAUGUAGUAAAGCGGAAGCUCCAUGUAUGUAUUGUCAGAUGGGCCUGUUUAGGACACAUCUAAAUGUGACAUAGUUAUGUCAAAACAUAGUUAUGUCAAAUCUAAACUGAUGUCCACUUUGUUUGAGGUCUAUUUUUGUUGUCCUAAUUUUUUUUUGUUACUACAUUAUAUAUUUGUGAGAGUUUAGAUGUGACAUCAUUAAAAAACAUAUAGAUGUGAAUUAGUCAAACCAUUGUUAGAUUAGUGAAGAAAAAGCGUCACCUAUUUUUUCACUGAUAACAAUUAACAUUUCCUAUCCAUACUUGAUGUAAGGCUGAAAUGGUUCAAUUUCGUAUCAUCAUCUCCACCAUUUACAUGUUUCCAUAGAUUGUCACAAUUUACAGAUUUGUUGCAUUACAUAGCAAUAAAUUGAGUAUUGUUACAUUUGUUGAUUUUCUGUACACGCAAGAGUGAAAUUUAGUAGUAACUAAAUGCUCUUCGUGAAGUCAAUCGGAAACCUCCAAAUUGGCGAAAUCACUAGUUAAGGAGUACUCGUUGCGAAGAUCAUUUCAACUCCCCAGGUCAUGACAAGUGGCGCGCGGCAUGUGCGCCACUUGUCGUAACACGGAAGUUUUCCCUUUUUUCGUACAUUCGUUUAUUCAAAAUGUUUUAUCUCUUAAACCGUGCGUCCAAAUCUCCAACCGCUUUUGCCAUUGGAUUUCUCGCGUUGAGAUCUUUAAAAGUAGAUCCUAUGUUGAUAGGUUUUGACGAACUUUUUUUCACAAAAAAACCGGACGAAAAAACCGUACCGAGAGCACGGUUUCUUUUUUCCUUUCCGAAAGAGGCACGCCCGUGCCUCUGACGAAAUCACAACCGUGUCUCUUGCGAAAGCAAAACCGUGACUCUCACGAAAGGAAAAAAAGAAAACACGUUUUUUUUCAUUUCCGAGGAGGCACGGCCGUGACUCUCAUGAAAGGAAAAAAAGAAAACACGUUUUUUUUCCAUUUCCGAGGAGGCACGGCCGUGACUCUCGCGAAAGCACAACCGUGCCUCUCGCCAAAGCAAAACCGUAACUCUCGCGAAGAAAAAAAACAAAAAACAUGUUUUUUUUUCUGANNNNNNNNNNNNNNNNNNNNNNNNNNNNNNNNNNNNNNNNNNNNNNNNNNNNNNNNNNNNNNNNNNNNNNNNNNNNNNNNNNNNNNNNNNNNNNNNNNNNNNNNNNNNNNNNNNNNNNNNNNNNNNNNNNNNNNNNNNNNNNNNNNNNNNNNNNNNNNNNNNNNNNNNNNNNNNNNNNNNNNNNNNNNNNNNNNNNNNNNNNNNNNNNNNNNNNNNNNNNNNNNNNNNNNNNNNNNNNNNNNNNNNNNNNNNNNNNNNNNNNNNNNNNNNNNNNUUUUUUUUCUGAGAAGGCCCGGCCGUGACUCUGGCGAAAGCACAACCGUGCCUCUCGCGGAAGUAAAACCGUGAUUCUCGCGAAAGAAAAAAAAAACAGAAAACGCGUUUUUUUCCGUUUCCGAGAGGCACGGCCGUGACUCUCACGAAAGAACAACCGUGCCUCCCGCGAAAGAAAAAAACAGAAAACACUUUUUUUCGUUUCCGAGAGGCACGGCCGUGACUCAAGCGAAAGCAAAACCGUGACUCCCGCGAAAGAAAAACGUGUUUUUUUGCGCAAAAAAAUUUUUAUUUUCGAAAAAAAUUUGGUCGAAAAGCUUGGGAAGACCAGUGAAAAACCAAAACGUCGAAAGCCCCCGAAAAAAACCAUUUAAAAAGCCCAAAACGCGUGUAGAAAACUAAAAAAACAAAAUUCGGAGGGAGCGUCCAGAGCACGACGCGUGGCGAAUGGCUGACAGCACACCAAGUGACGUUGAUCGUUGCGAGGCUCCCGAAGGAGCGUUCAUUAAUUAGUUAUAUGAAACGUAAAGCCCUCAAAUGACGGAAAAUACUUAGUGGGCGAAGUUUGUUCUCCCCUGCAUUUCAGUCUGAAUGCUACUGGAAAUAUUAGAUGGAUGUCAUAUGAAACGUUCAACAAAAUGUUAUUAGUAGCUAUUUGGAUAAAGGGGAUCAGACUUAAAAGCAAAACUUGCAGAAUUUGGAUACGUGUGUCUUCUUACUUUUGUUUAUUGUUGCUCCUUAUAUCUGUUAUAAUCUAACAUAUCAUCAGACAAUCUAGCAAGCUUGAACCAACAAUUUCAAAUAAGAAUGUAGACCAUAAAGCCACCAGUUACUAAAUUCAACAGAGCAUAGAAGUUGACAGCAUCCAUGUCAUACUGAUAGCCCUGUCCAAGCACCACCUGUGUGUCAUGAGCAAGCUGGUCAUGAGUAGGGAACAAAAAUAAAUUCAAAGAUUAGAAACUGAUUAGAGGUCAGGAACAAAUAAUUAGAGAAAACAAACUAAACUAAAUCUGAACUCUCACCAUCAAAUUCUCUAUUUGUAACUCACCGAAGAAAACAAACUGAACUAAAUCUGAACUCUCACCAUCAAGUUCUCUAUUUGUAACUCACCGCCAAUUUCUUCUGAUUCUCCUCUCCUCUCGGGUGUUGCUCUUCCAGACAUCACAGGGCAGGGACACGGGAGUCGUAGAGAUGGACGAGGUUGGUGGCAUCUAGGCUUUUGAGAGCAACACCCUCCCGAUGUGCGCGUUGUUCAUCUUAUCGAGGCCCGGCCCGGCGUCGCACCCGCGAGGCUGCAAAGAAAGCCAACUUUAGAGUCCAAUCUCACCAUCGGCAGAUCCGAUUUUGGUGGAGCGCGCAGGCGGAGGGCAACCAGGGGUCCUGGCGACAUUGAUGCGGUGUGAUGAUCUGCUCCUGUGCGGGAUCAAAAUCGCGAGAGAACCUGUAUAUAGGAGAAGACCACCGCGCCUCAUCUAUCUGUCAUCAUGAUCCAGGAAGAUAAACAACGAGAAUCCCUAGUGGCGGAGGGAGCACCUUUGGCUGGUUGAAGUAUAUGCGCGUGGUUAAUAAGGAGUUGGGUAGCCGCCUAGCGGGGAAAGGGAACGAUGGGUUCAAGAUGGUCGUGCCCCCUCGUUUAGAAACUGAUGCGACUCUUCACAGCUGAAACGGUGUGACGUGGCUUAAGGGAAUCACAACAAAAAUAGUUAGGCUGGUUGUAAUGUGAAGUAUUAUAUACUAGUAUCAUGCAUAUGAUACUAGUGUAUGAUACUACAUCCGUAAAGCAUGGUAUCAUAUGUUGGUAUCAUAUAGGACUAUAUUUAUUGACAUGCAUGACACAAAGUAGCACAUCAUUUAAUAUGAUACGGUAUCAUGAUAUGAUACUCAAGUCUCUUUUUUUUCAUUUAAUAAUAUGCCACCUCAUCAACAUUGCUUAAUUGGCAUGCAGGAUACUAUCUAUGAUACUCCCAUUACGACCAGCCUUAGUGGGUGAAAAAAUACUGACAUGACACAUCGCUGAUGUGGACAGUGUGCAUGAUAAGAGAAUAAGGAAUAGUGGAGAACAACUUCUUAAGAAUAAUAGAUGUGUGCCGGACCCCCUCAUAGAUGUGUGGUGUUCAAGUUCGUAUGUGAUAGGCCCGAAUUACAAAUCUGUCUCCGAUGUAUGACCAACGUCGAUGGGUAACCCGUUGACAAAGUCUUCUCUGAUGGGUUCUACUAUAUCAGCAUGCAUGUCUACAAUGGCCUAGUCGAUUCCAUAUAUAAAAGUUAACCUUAACCAGCGUGCCUCCAUUCCAUUUCCAACCAGAGUCCCUACCACCUCANNNNNNNNNNNNNNNNNNNNNNNNNNNNNNNNNNNNNNNNNNNNNNNNNNNNNNNNNNNNNNNNNNNNNNNNNNNNNNNNNNNNNNNNNNNNNNNNNNNNNNNNNNNNNNNNNNNNNNNNNNNNNNNNNNNNNNNNNNNNNNNNNNNNNNNNNNNNNNNNNNNNNNNNNNNNNNNNNNNNNNNNNNNNNNNNNNNNNNNNNNNNNNNNNNNNNNNNNNNNNNNNNNNNNNNNNNNNNGGAGAGGAUUGCUCCCUCGUCGUCCUCCCUCCGAUGGAGGCGGAAUGGUGACAUCAGGCGGUGUCAAACAUUCAGUCGUACUCCCUUUGUUCCGAUUUACUCGUCGUAGUUUUAGUUCAACGGAUAAAGAGCAUGGCACCGAGCUCCUGGGGAUGAAAAAAAAUGCAAGUGUCAAAUGCCAAGUGCAAAACAGUCGUUCAUGAGAUGACGAGAACACUAUAUUUUUUAAUAGGGCCAAUUUCAUUUUUUUCCCAAAUUUUGUCCCGACCUCAUCUUUACCCCUAAAAAAACAGUGCUCAACUUUGCCCCUCUUUUGUUAAAUGCGCUUAUAGAAAUGUCUACCCGUACAUUUUCCGUCCAGUCAAAGGCCUUUGACCGUUAGAGUGACCGUUAAGUGCGCCUUUAACUGGACGGAAAAUGUACGGAAGGGCAUUUCAAUAAGCGCAUUUAACAAAAGAGGGGCAAAGUUGAGCCUGUUUCUAUUUAGGUAUUUAGGGGUAAAAAUGAGGUCGGGACAAAAUAAGAGGGAAAAAUAUAAAUCUCCCUAUUUAAUAACAACAAAACCAUGUUUGGUUGGAGCUAAUUAGACAAGGGGAAUGGAAUGUUAAGGGUUCUAAGAUAUAAAGUAAUCAGUUUUUUUUUGCGAAUACGCAAAACUUGAGUAUCAUUCAUUGAUAGGUAAGAGAGAAAUAACAGAGGCAUACAUGAGAAAAUGAGAGGAGCACCACCCAAGGUGUGGGAAAAACAAAGAGAGAUACACACAGCACAAAGCUCUCCUAGCUUGAACUCUAGCCAACAAGGCAAAGAGACGAGAUACAAGGCAUCUAGACCGCGUCGCGACCGACGCCAAGCACCAUCAUCGCACGACCACAACUCCAGACCGGACCGGAUCAACGUACCUCCCACCUAUGUGCCUAGAGGAUCGGCAAGUGGGGUGCAGGACCAAGCCGGAUUGGAAGGAGAAGCCAUGGAGAGAGCAUGGUCGAGGCCGUACAUUGCGCCCUAGAUGCCCACGCCACGAGGAGCAUCCGACCAGCAAAGCGUCCACAAUCUUCGAAUCCAACACCGAGCAUACCACGAGCAGCAAGACGACGCCUUCAUGAAGGGUGCAAUGACGAGCCAUCGUCGUCUGAUCUACUAUAUCUAGGGUUUCCCCUGAUACUCAAGUAGGGGCACGGAGAAAAGGCCAUGACAACACCUCCAAGAAGGAAACGACACCCACAGGUGUCGACGCCGUAAGCAUCGGCAAGCCGAUCAGGGCUUUCGCCUCGGCCAAAGUCCGCGCAAUCCCAAAGGUUGCGGAUCAGGAAUCGAAUACGCGAAAACCAUGGUAAUCCAAGACCACAACUGCCGCAAGAAGAGCCGCACCCAGCACCAUGGGAGGUGAUCAUGGGUGCCACCAGACGCUCCACCACCUCCGACAACCACCGCGGACCAGAUCGAGCCAAGGGAGGCCGAAAUCCGCCGCCAUCAGCCUCAGCCCACCGCAGCCAGCACGAGAAGAGGCAUGGCCGGGAUGAGGCUCUGUCGCCGGGAAGACGCUGGACAACCGGAUCUAGGAGGGCCCACAGCACAACCACGUCCAGUCUGAGAGGAGGCCUGGCCGGGACGAGGUCCUGCCGCUGGGAGGACGUCGGACAGCCAGGGCCACGAGGGGUGGGUGGCCGGAUGAGGUGGAGCGUGGGAGAGGGUGGGAGGAGGGGGACCGUCGCACCUGACAGCACCGGUGACGACGGCGAGAAGAAGAUGCGUAGGCGAUUUCAAAUCCGCCGCCAGGAGGGGUCUGGGGGAGGAGCACCGCCAAGACGACCACCAUGAGGCGCGGGAGGGAGCGGAGGCACCGGAUCCGCCUCCGGAGGCGCACCGCCGGCCGCCAGGACGCCGGGAGAGGCGCCAACGGACCAACACGAUGCAAGCCGCCAGUCGCGGGGCGCCACGCGAGGGGAGCCGCGCAACGGGGGGGAGGCCCCGCCGCCACCACCAUAGUGCGAGCUUCGCUCGGUGGUGGCUACAUGGGAGUUAGAGUCUAACUUUCCAUGGUAGCUACAUGUAAGUUGGCUUAAGUUAUAGUUUGUGUAAGUAUUUUGUGUGACAAGGAACGAUUUAGGAGGAAGAAAGCUAGAGGAAGAAAACUAGAGGAAGAAGAAAGAAGGUUGGCAGUUGGAUCUUUAAUCUGAUGACCCGGAAAAUCGACCUAACCAUUUUUUUCAGACGACUUACAUAAAGCAUGUUCCCUAACUUUCACCAUCUUAUUAGAGAAGGGAGUGGGUGGAAAUUGGGAGGAAACUGAUAUAUAGAGAAUACUAAAAGCUAACCUUGACUCUCAUGACUGCCUUUCAUUUUCCAAUCCAUGCCGCCGCCACCUCAAUGGAUGUGUUUAGAUCGUGCCUGCUUCGCCAAAGGACGAGGAGAAGAUUGCCGCCGGCAUUACCGCCUCAUCGAAUUGGAGAAGAGAUGAAAACGUUGAGGCAUAUAUUCGCAUGUUCGGUCAUAGAAGAGGGAGACAGUCGCCGUAUAAGAAAGAUGAUAGAAAGGGGGAGCCAGUGGCGGGCAUGACAACAAGCUAUAGAGGACAAGUGGCAUGUGGAAAACGGUUCGUUCACGAGGUGACGAGGACACCGUGAAUUUUUGAAAAUGAUAAGUACCAAACGUUCGGUACGGGCACAUGGCAACCCGCCCUAACGUUUUUCAUGGCAACUUUAGGCCCCGUUCGGAAGUUCUUUGGCUUCCCAAACUGGCCAGCUUCUCGACCUGCCAGCCAAGCCAGCUUCACACGGGAGCGGCAAACCGUUCGGCGGCAGCGGCAACCUCUGCUCCGUCAGCAUGGGCCAGAGAGGAGAGGCACGGGCUUGUCUGAUACUGGAGGCGUGAGGUCACUGAUUUGCCCAGGCGUGUUUUAUCUAAUCGAAACGGUACGCAAGUCACUUCAGAAUGGCAUUCUAGUGUAAAUUCAUUCAACUCAUUCUUCGUCGUUUGGAGGAGCUACACUUUCGUUGCUCCACGAAAUUGCAUUGCGGGAGGGCUGGGCUUCCCAACGCUGGCUUUGCGGAGCUGAGCCGUUCGGCAUUGCUCCACACACGGAGCUGGUGAAGCGUGAAGCCAGAGAGGAUCUGAACGGGCCAUAAGUUGACGAGAGGAUGGCAAGUUAGGGGGAAGUUCCUGAAGCACGCAAGUUAUCAUGCCUGCCUGGCAAUUAAUGUUGUCAUCCUCACGUCAAUAAACUUGCCUUCGAAAGCCGUUCGGAGCCUGCAUGCAAUGGGGUAGCUAAAAGUAAACUGAAGGGUGUGCACACUUAGGAAAAUUCUACUUAAUUCAAGUGCCAUACAACAUUUGACAACCAAAAAGCACACACUCGAAAUCUGCAAAGUAUAACAUGAUAAAGAAAAAAUUUCUCAGAAUUCUAGCUACGCCACUGCUGGCACGUGCUCGUACCGUACGUUUGGUACUUAUAUGAGAUUCUUAAUUUUUUUUUAACGCCAACGUGUAUGGCGUGGCCCAGCAUUGCAGAUGAUGACUGGGUAAAUUUUGUCUUGUUAUAACUCUCACGUGGCACGCACGCAGCAAGGCGACGACGCACUUGACACGCUGCUGCCGGGAAGAAGAAGGGGAAGGGGGAUGGCUGCCGACGCAGCCUACGCGAAGCGGGUGCUGCUCGCCUGCAACGGCGGCGCCGACGCCGUCUCGCGGGGGCUCGCCGUCGGCCUCGCCAGGCACGGAUGCAGGUACUCCCUCUCACCUCGCCGCCGUUCCCCUUCUCCUCCCCUCUUCUUCUUCCUGUUGCUCGGUUCUGAAUCUACGCGCGCGCGCGUACAGGCUGGUCCUGGUUGGCGACGAGGGCGCCCUGGCCGCGACGGCGGAGGAGGCGCGGCGCUGUGCAGGUGGUGGAGAGGGUGCCGUCGCGGUGGUGGGGCUCGACUUCGCGGUCUGCGACGAGGCGGCCGUCGGCGCCGCGGUGGACGCGGCGUGGCGCUGCUUCGGGGACGGCGGGCUCCACGCCUUGGUCAACUGUUGCUCCUACGAGGGUAUGCACAUACUACUGACAGAUACUGUGAUACACAUGCCCAAUUUUCAGUCUGACUGAAUUAUACACACGCCCAAGCCCAGCUGAUCACUAUCAUCCUAAUUGAGCUUCAGAACUUCAGAUCUUCUCUCACUCUUCUAGUCAGCUUAUAUUCCACUAAUUUCAUCCGUGGACCUCUUCCAACCAUGAAAUGUGUGAUUGACUGUAUGAGCAGGGGAAGUGCAAGACUGCCUCAGCGUAACUGAAGAUGAGUACAACAAGACCAUGAAAGUCAAUGUAAUCACACCUUGGCUCCUGAUAAAGGCCACGGCGAUGCGGUUCCGGGAUGCGCAGUCGGGCGGCUCCGUGGUGUGCUUGACCCAGAUCAUCGGCGCCGAGAGAGGAUUGUAUCCGGGGGCGGCGGCAUACGGCACAAGUUUGGGCGCCGUUCACCAGCUCGUCAGAGUAAGCCUUCCUUCCUGUUGUCCAAGAAUCCUGGAUGCUCGUAGAAAUCCUGAAUGCCUACAUUGCCAUGAUGUUCUUUGUGUUUUCAGCUGUCGGCCAUGGAGCUCGGCAAGCACAAGAUCAGGGUGAACGCCGUCUGCCGCGGCCUGCACCUGGGGGACAAGUUCCCCGUCUCUGUUGGGGAAGAGAAGGCCGAGAAGGCGACCGGGGAGGUGAUGCCGCUGCGGCGGUGGCUGGACCCGGACAAGGACCUGGCGUCCACUGUGCUGUACCUGGUCGGCGACGACUCCCGCUUCAUGACGGGCACCACCAUCUACGUCGACGGCGCGCAGUCCAUCGUGCGCCCUCGCAUGCGCUCCUUCCUGUAGGUAGGUUUGUCAUGCCUGUCCUGGGACUGGUUGGCCAUGUCUGGAUUUCCACUUUCCAUCAGGAUGACUCCUGAUAUGUUGUUGUUGAAUAACAGUGGUUUGUGCAAAGAGCGCAAGUGUGAUAAUUAAGCAGUCUCUGUGAAUGCAAUAAUUAAUGGUAGAGUAAAGAUCAAAAUUGACAAAGAAUACCCAGAAGCAACAUGAGGGGCAGAGCAGGCCCCUCUUCAGAUUAGAAGUUUUUGAAGAACAAUCUGCUAAACUUUAUUAAAGGAGAGUAAUGUUUACAGGGACUCAUAAAGGAUCAUAACCAUCGCCGACGUCAAAACAGACUCUUGAAACUGAUUGUAUGCCUUAUAGUUCUGGAACGAGAAAUGCAAAGCCCACCACAUAAACUUGGAGCAAAACUUCAGGUUUAAGGAACGGGUAAUGGUGUAGAGUGAGUCAGCAUAGGAUGCACAGUUGGUUUGGUCGGUUGGUUCAC
Molecule: long non-coding RNA, 18724 nt
Filed under: Triticum aestivum (bread wheat)
Lineage: Eukaryota; Viridiplantae; Streptophyta; Magnoliopsida; Poales; Poaceae
Description: long non-coding RNA (TAES_LNC008219)
Source: RNAcentral